Molecule: ribosomal RNA, 254 nt
Filed under: uncultured bacterium
Lineage: Bacteria
Description: partial 16S ribosomal RNA
Rfam family: Bacterial small subunit ribosomal RNA
Source: RNAcentral
UACGGGGGGAGCAAGCGUUGUUCGGAUUUACUGGGCGUAAAGGGCGCGUAGGCGGUCGUGACAAGUCACUUGUGAAAUCUCCGGGCUUAACUCGGAACGGUCAAGUGAUACUGUCGGACUAGAGUACAGAAGGGGCAACUGGAAUUCUCGGUGUAGCGGUGAAAUGCGUAGAGAUGCGGAGGAACACCGAUGGCGAAGGCAGCCCCCUGGGCCAAUACUGACGCUCAGGCACGAAAGCGUGGGGAGCAAACAGG